RNAcentral lists this ribosomal RNA (301 nucleotides) under uncultured bacterium. Its description in RNAcentral is "partial 16S ribosomal RNA". It matches the Rfam family "Bacterial small subunit ribosomal RNA", at positions 509 to 807 of the family's 1533-position model. The record is from RNAcentral.
CAGUCGCCGCGGGAAUACGAAGGGGGCUAGCGUUACUCGGAAUUACUGGGCGUAAAGGGCGCGUAGGCGGCGCACCAAGUUAGGCGUGAAAGUCCUGGGCUCAACCUGGGAACUGCGCUUAAGACUGGUGUGCUUGAGGAUGGAAGAGGGUUGUGGAAUUCCCAGUGUAGAGGUGAAAUUCGUAGAUAUUGGGAAGAACACCGGUGGCGAAGGCGGCAACCUGGUCCAUUACUGACGCUGAGGCGCGACAGCGUGGGGAGCAAACAGGAUUAGAUACCCGGGUAGUCCCUGUCUCUUAUAC